AUUGAACGCUGGCGGCAGGCCUAACACAUGCAAGUCGAACGGUAACAGGAAGAAGCUUGCUUCUUUGCUGACGAGUGGCGGACGGGUGAGUAAUGUCUGGGAAACUGCCUGAUGGAGGGGGAUAACUACUGGAAACGGUAGCUAAUACCGCAUAACGUCGCAAGACCAAAGAGGGGGACCUUCGGGCCUCUUGCCAUCGGAUGUGCCCAGAUGGGAUUAGCUAGUAGGUGGGGUAACGGCUCACCUAGGCGACGAUCCCUAGCUGGUCUGAGAGGAUGACCAGCCACACUGGAACUGAGACACGGUCCAGACUCCUACGGGAGGCAGCAGUGGGGAAUAUUGCACAAUGGGCGCAAGCCUGAUGCAGCCAUGCCGCGUGUAUGAAGAAGGCCUUCGGGUUGUAAAGUACUUUCAGCGGGGAGGAAGGGAGUAAAGUUAAUACCUUUGCUCAUUGACGUUACCCGCAGAAGAAACACCGGCUAACUCCGU
This 489-nucleotide ribosomal RNA is filed under the name uncultured bacterium. RNAcentral's name for it is "partial 16S ribosomal RNA". It matches the Rfam family "Bacterial small subunit ribosomal RNA", at positions 30 to 506 of the family's 1533-position model. The record is from RNAcentral.